RNAcentral lists this long non-coding RNA (1530 nucleotides) under Macaca fascicularis (crab-eating macaque). RNAcentral describes it as "lncRNA (ENSMFAG00000056169.1)". Lineage: Eukaryota; Metazoa; Chordata; Mammalia; Primates; Cercopithecidae. The record is from RNAcentral.
CUUAGCUAUUGGGUCCCUCUCCCACUAGCUAAGUAGGAAAAGAACAACCCCCAACUUCCAGGGAGAAUGCAGGAAAUCAGCUAAUUUUUUUGUGUUCUAGUUUUCUAUGUUUUAGUGUUCACAUGUGCAUAUACACAUAGACAUGAUUGACGAUGCAAUAUGGGUGAUUAUGGACAUGCAUUAUUUACCAUGUCCCCACUAUGUGCCUUAAACUCUGCUGUGUGCUUGAUUUAUACCUUUGGAUAUAAGUUCUUGGACUUAUGAAGCAUAUAGUCAAUUAAAGAGCUAGAUUUUCGAGAAUAGUGAAGCAACCUAUUUUUUUCUUUUUAAGAGAGGGUCUGGUUCUGUCACUUAGUCUGGAGUGCAGUGGUGCCAAUCAUGGCUCACUGCACCCUCGACCUCCUGGGCUCAAGUGACCCACCCGGGCCUCCCAUAGUGAUAGGCAUGAGCCACCACACAUGGCCAAGCAACUGUUAUUUAAUUAGAAUUGUCAUAAGUGCAGCCGUGACAAAGUACAGAGUGUUAUAAAAGUAUAAAACAGAAAGACAUAACCUAAUUUGGGAGAUUUGGGUAGGUUUCAAUGAAUAAGUUACAAAUUAAUGAGAGAACUGAAGGAGGAACUGGCUAGGUGAAAAGUUGUGAAGUGAGCCUUGUGGGCAGAGGGAAUGUAAUGUGCAAAGGUCCUGAGAUUGAACAGAGCUCGAAAACUUACAGGAAUUGAAAAAAGGUUAGUGCUGUUGCAGCAUUCUGAGCAAAGAGGAGAGUUGCCAAGAUGAAUCUGGCCACAUCAUAUAGGACUUUGUGGGCAAUGUUAAAGAACUGUGACAUUGGCUGGGCACGGUGGCUGAUGCCUGUAAUCCCAGCACUUUGGGAGGCCCAGGCGGGUGGUUCACAUGAGGUCAGGAGUUCGAGACUAGCCUGACCAACAUGGUGAAACCCUGUCUCUACUAAAAAUACAAAAAAAUUAGCGGGAUGUGGUGGCUCACACCUAUAGUCCCAGCUACUCAGGAGGCUGAGACAGGAGAGUUGCUUGAACCCAGCAGGCAGAGGUGGUAGUGAGCUGAGAUUGCGCCACUGCACUCCAGCCUGAGUGACAGAGCAGGACUCCCUCUCAGAAAAAAAAAAAAAAAAAAAGGAAUUGUGACCACAUCAUCCUGAUAAUAUAAUUAUUAGAAUUUUUUUUUACAGUAGUAAGUUUUUUAAUCCACUGAAAAAUACAAGAGCACCGGCCAGGUGUGGUGGCUCAUGCCUAUAAUCCCACUUUGGGAGGCCGAGGCAGGUGGAUCACGAGGUCAGGAGUUUGAAACCAGCCUGACCAGCAUGGUGAAACCCCAUCUCUCCGAAAAUACAAAAAAAUUAGCCGGGCAUGGUGGCGCGUGCCUGUAAUUCCAGCUACUCAGGAGGUUGAGCAGGAGAAUUGCUUGAACCCGGGAGGCGGAGGUUGCAGUGAGCCAAGAUCGUGCCACUGCACUCUAGCCUGGGUGACAGAGCUAGACACCCUCUCAAAAAAAAACAAAACAACAAAAAAAA